GGUUAAAAAGCUCGUAGUUGGAUUUCUGUCGAGGGUGGCCGGUCCGCACUUUGUGCGUGCAUCUGGUUCAGCCUUGGCAUCCUCUUGGGGAACGUAUCUGCGCUUAAUUGCGUGGUGCGGUAUCCAAGACUUUUACUUUGAGGAAAUUAGAGUGUUCACGGCAGGCAAUCGCCUUGAAUACAUUAGCAUGGAAUAAUAAUAUAGGACCUCGGUCCCAUUUUGUUGGUUUCUGGAACUGAGGUAAUGAUUAAUAGGGAUAAUUGGGGGCAUUCGUAUUAACGUGUCAGAGGUGGAAUUCUUGGAUUACGUUACCGACGAACUACUGCGAAAGCAUUUGCCAAGGAUGUUUUCAUUGAUC
RNAcentral lists this ribosomal RNA (358 nucleotides) under uncultured marine eukaryote. RNAcentral's name for it is "SSU rRNA". It matches the Rfam family "Eukaryotic small subunit ribosomal RNA", at positions 617 to 978 of the family's 1831-position model. The record is from RNAcentral.